Molecule: long non-coding RNA, 392 nt
Filed under: Coffea arabica (coffee)
Lineage: Eukaryota; Viridiplantae; Streptophyta; Magnoliopsida; Gentianales; Rubiaceae
Description: long non-coding RNA (CARA_LNC007835)
Source: RNAcentral
GAAACCUUUAUGGUAGGAACCUGCCUAUGGUAGGAAUGUCGGCAGAGAGCGACACGUGUUGGGGGUAAAAUGGUCCAAACGGAGACGUUAAAUUGUCGGAGAGCGCGUGCAUAGGGAAUCAAGUAGAAGCGUGUACGGAUGGAAGCAAACAGCAGACUGACUUCCGUACUAUGUUAUUGCAAGUCUUUCCUUUGUACCAAAUAUUUGGUGACCCCACUUCUUCCCCAUAGCGUCUGAAUUAAGCUUCAACUUUGGCUUUCCAUUAUUGAAGUUCGGCUUCCACUAUGGACCCGAAUACCGAAUGACACAAUGUAACUACAUUCAUUUUAUAUUUAUUUUUACAUUACAUAUGCAUGUCAUUCUUUUUAGUGGUUGCACCUUAUAUUCGUGAA